UUCUUAUCAAGAGUGGUUGAGGGACUGGCCCGUUGACGCCCGACAACCUAUACUUCAUGGAUUUUUAUGCAUAUACGAAGUAUAAGGUGUUAAUUCCAGCAGAAUUAAUUUUUCUGACAGAUAAGAA
RNAcentral lists this non-coding RNA (127 nucleotides) under Clostridium oryzae. RNAcentral's name for it is "SAM-I sequence". It matches the Rfam family "SAM riboswitch aptamer (S box leader)". Rfam says of the family: The SAM riboswitch is found upstream of a number of genes which code for proteins involved in methionine or cysteine biosynthesis in Gram-positive bacteria. The SAM riboswitch acts at the level of transcription termination control. The record is from Rfam by way of RNAcentral. Lineage: Bacteria; Bacillati; Bacillota; Clostridia; Eubacteriales; Clostridiaceae.